CUGGUAGUCCACGCCGUAAACGUUGGGCGCUAGAUGUGGGUCACAUUCCACGUGAUCCGUGUCGCAGCUAACGCAUUAAGCGCCCCGCCUGGGGAGUACGGCCGCAAGGCUAAAACUCAAAGGAAUUGACGGGGGCCCGCACAAGCGGCGGAGCAUGCGGAUUAAUUCGAUGCAACGCGAAGAACCUUACCAAGACUUGACAUAUUCAGGAAAACUGCAGAAAUGUAGUCCCCCGCAAGGGUCUGUUUACAGGUGGUGCAUGGUUGUCGUCAGCUCGUGUCGUGAGAUGUUGGGUUAAGUCCCGCAACGAGCGCAACCCUCGUCCUAUGUUGCCAGCACGUUAUGGUGGGAACUCAUGGGAGACUGCCGGGGUCAACUCGGAGGAAGGUGGGGAUGACGUCAAAUCAUCAUGCCCCUUAUGUCUUGGGCUUCACGCAUGCUACAAUGGCCGGUACAAAGGGCUGCAAUACCGCAAGGUGGAGCGAAUCCCAAAAAGCCGGUCUCAGUUCGGAUUGAGGUCUGCAACUCGACCUCAUGAAGUCGGAGUCGCUAGUAAUCGCAGAUCAGCAACGCUGCGGUGAAUACGUUCCCGGGCCUUGUACACACCGCCCGUCAAGUCACGAAAGUCGGUAACACCCGAAGCCGGUGCCUAACCGUAAGGA
RNAcentral lists this ribosomal RNA (662 nucleotides) under uncultured Actinomycetes bacterium. Its description in RNAcentral is "bacterial SSU rRNA". It matches the Rfam family "Bacterial small subunit ribosomal RNA", at positions 787 to 1447 of the family's 1533-position model. The record is from RNAcentral. Lineage: Bacteria; Bacillati; Actinomycetota; Actinomycetes.